CCAGCCCUCCCCGCAUCCCGCAGUGCCCAUCACCCCCACCCCCCCAAUGCCAAUCGCUGCCCCAGUUUCCAGCCCCCCCAGCCUCUUCCUCCCACAGGCGAGCCCCAGAGCCUGAGGCACAGCCGCUCAGCACGGAGCCAUGGAGGGAGCCCUCCCAGCGUGCAGACCAGAACUGCUGGCGCACAUGGUGGCUCCUCCCACACCUGCUGCUGGUGCUGCUGCUGGCACUGCUCUGCCUCCUGCACCACAUCGCCCCAUGGCUGGAGCUGAGCUACCUGAGAUC
This is a long non-coding RNA of Cygnus olor (mute swan), 283 nucleotides long. RefSeq lists it as uncharacterized. The transcript is spliced from 3 exons. The record is from RefSeq and is a predicted model, not a curated record. NCBI's taxonomy places the organism in Eukaryota, Metazoa, Chordata, Aves, Anseriformes, Anatidae.